UCAGCUCUAUUCUAUGGUUAUUCUGAAAAGCACUUUGUAACUUUAUUUUGAAACUCAAAAUGUUGUUAUUUUUAUAAAAAAGUAGUAUAGCUCCCCCCGCAGCCCUCCCUGUGGAGGAUAAAGCGGUUGAAAAUGGAUGGCUGGAAGGAUGACAUUGGUGCCGACAAGAUCCGUGUUUAUACCAGAAAAAGGUCCUAAUGAGACCGGCCCCCUCUUGACCAGACUAGAUGCUCAUCGGCCCCCAGGACAUUUGAGUUUUAUACACCUGUCAUAAAAUGUCUGUGCCAAAUUCUUCCAAGCAUGACCAAACCAAAAUCUGUUUGGCAGAGAAAGAAUGUGCUGGAGAGCUUGAUGAGCAUGACUUCAUAGAUGCUUUUGCCAUGAACUACAAGAAUAGACUGGACAUCAGCUGGUUCUGAUGGUGAUGAUGACCUGUCAGGGUCUGAGUGUGAAGGCAAGAUGUCUUCCAGUUUUGAUCCAGCAGGGG
Solea senegalensis (Senegalese sole) is the source of this 487-nucleotide long non-coding RNA. RefSeq lists it as uncharacterized. The transcript has 4 exons. NCBI's taxonomy places the organism in Eukaryota, Metazoa, Chordata, Actinopteri, Pleuronectiformes, Soleidae. The record is from RefSeq and is a predicted model, not a curated record.